This 630-nucleotide ribosomal RNA is filed under the name bacterium 85-L049642-122-014-E11. RNAcentral describes it as "bacterial SSU rRNA". It matches the Rfam family "Bacterial small subunit ribosomal RNA", at positions 57 to 698 of the family's 1533-position model. The record is from RNAcentral.
GCAGUCGAACGCUGAAGCUCCAGCUUGCUGGGGUGGAUGAGUGGCGAACGGGUGAGUAACACGUGAGUAACCUUCCCUUGACUCUGGGAUAAGCCCGGGAAACUGGGUCUAAUACCGGAUACGACUCUCCAUCGCAUGGUGUGGGGGUGGAAAGAUUUAUCGGUCUUGGAUGGACUCGCGGCCUAUCAGCUUGUUGGUGAGGUAAUGGCUUACCAAGGCGACGACGGGUAGCCGGCCUGAGAGGGUGACCGGCCACACUGGGACUGAGACACGGCCCAGACUCCUACGGGAGGCAGCAGUGGGGAAUAUUGCACAAUGGGCGCAAGCCUGAUGCAGCGACGCCGCGUGAGGGAUGACGGCCUUCGGGUUGUAAACCUCUUUCAGUAGGGAAGAAGCGAGAGUGACGGUACCUGCAGAAGAAGCGCCGGCUAACUACGUGCCAGCAGCCGCGGUAAUACGUAGGGCGCGAGCGUUAUCCGGAAUUAUUGGGCGUAAAGAGCUCGUAGGCGGUUUGUCGCGUCUGCCGUGAAAGUCCGGGGCUUAACCCCGGAUCUGCGGUGGGUACGGGCAGACUAGAGUGCAGUAGGGGAGACUGGAAUUCCUGGUGUAGCGGUGAAAUGCGCAGAUAUC